GACGAACGCUGGCGGCGUGCUUAACACAUGCAAGUCGAGCGGUAAGGCCCUUUCGGGGGUACACGAGCGGCGAACGGGUGAGUAACACGUGGGUGACCUGCCCUCAGCUCUGGGAUAAGCCUGGGAAACGUGGGUCUAAUACUGGAUAUGACUCCACGGUGCAUGUCGUGGGGUGGAAAGCCUUGUGCGGCUGAGGAUGGGCCCGCGGCCUAUCAGCUUGUUGGUGGGGUGAGGCCUACCAAGGCGACGACGGGUAGCCGGCCUGAGAGGGCGACCGGCCACACUGGGACUGAGACACGGCCCAGACUCCUACGGGAGGCAGCAGUGGGGAAUCUUGCGCAAUGGGCGAAAGCCUGACGCAGCGACG
This 367-nucleotide ribosomal RNA is filed under the name uncultured bacterium. RNAcentral's name for it is "bacterial SSU rRNA". It matches the Rfam family "Bacterial small subunit ribosomal RNA", at positions 28 to 396 of the family's 1533-position model. The record is from RNAcentral.